This 371-nucleotide ribosomal RNA is filed under the name uncultured bacterium. RNAcentral's name for it is "bacterial SSU rRNA". It matches the Rfam family "Bacterial small subunit ribosomal RNA", at positions 527 to 896 of the family's 1533-position model. The record is from RNAcentral.
GGAGGGUGCGAGCGUUGCUCGGAAUCACUGGGCGUAAAGCGUACGCAGGCUGUCUCGUAAGUCGGGUGUGAAAGCCCGGGGCUCAACCCCGGAAUUGCGCCCGAGACUGCGGGGCUUGAAUGCGGGAGAGGGAAGCGGAAUUCCUGGUGUAGAGGUGAAAUUCGUAGAUAUCAGGAGGAACACCGGUGGCGAAAGCGGCUUCCUGGCCCGACAUUGACGCUCAUGUACGAGAGCGUGGGGAGCAAACAGGAUUAGAUACCCUGGUAGUCCACGCUGUAAACKAUGAGUGCUAGCUGCUGGGAAUGUCUACCGUCUCAGUGGCGAAGCUAACGCAUUAAGCACUCCGCCUGGGAAGUACGGCCGCAAGGCUA